AUGGAUUCGUCGUUGGGGAGCCACGUCACGGUCAUCCCCGAUUGGGUGGGCGACUUGGGCGAGUCCGUCGGCCCCGUCGACUACGGCUGCGUGCGCCGGUGCCGUCACCGCCGCCUCGCCACCUACCUCUGGCUCCACGGCUUCCGCGACGCCCUGCGAGGGCUGCUCAACGAGACGGACGCGUACAUGAGCGUCAUCCACCUGUCGCGGCUGGUGCGGCAGGGCCUGUGGGACGACGCCAUCGCCUACGUCUCCCGCUUCCUGCGCCCGACCUCGCACCCGCAGAGCGACGAGGCACAGGUGCUCCUCCACUUCCUCAAGCACCACGCCGCCUUCGCCAGCAUGGUCGCCGGCGUGCCCGACCGCAACCUCACCUACUUCAACCGCAAGUACAACACACGGUACCUCAAGCACGACGACUCCGUCUCCCACGACGCCCUCCGGAUCCGCUCCAUCGUCCUCUCCAUUCUCCACUCGGAACAAGUCAGGUCCUCCCUGGACUGGGAGCGCGUUCGUUGGAAGGCCUCUCAAAUCGUCAAACACUUGGCUUACAAGGCUCCUGAGUUGAAAAGCCUGGUCAUAUUGCCGGCCGGCUCAAUGAUGCCACACGAUGUACUUCCCAUCGGAUUCAGGUACCGUCGGAGGCGCCACGUCAAGGAACAAGACCUGCCAAGACCUAAAACACUGGCCAAGAUCUUCCUUAGGACCAAGAAGAGGCUGCCUUCGUCAACUCGCAGUCACGAGAUAAACAGGGGAUUGACAGACAAAACAAGGAAGUGGCACGCAGAUCUUAUUGAUGAAAGCUUGCAGGCUGGUCUGGAACUUCAAUCAAGUGGGAAGGAAGGUGUUCCUGGUGCUACAGUCUCGCAGACCAUGUCGAAUACCUUGACAAAUGCAGGUGCUCCUGUUCCUUCAGUUUCACAGACUAUGUCUGGUACAUUGACAGUUCCUGCUAAAAUAUAUGGUGCUGCUGUUGCUGCAGUCUCACAGGCAGUGAACUUGACAAGCCAUGCUGAAAACGCUGGUAUCUCGGCAGUGACAAAUGCAGGCACAAAUAAGGUUUUGAGUUCGGAAAAUUCCAAUCUCAGAAAGCAUCCAAGGACAGAACAAGCAGCUUUUGAGCAAGGUCCUCGUCCAAAAACACAACGGUCAAGUGGGGCUUUUGGUGAAGCAUGUCUGGCGUCGGUGACUAAAGUUGGAGCGUGCUCGCAGGCUGGUAUUGUCCUGGAAGAUCCUAAGCAUGAAGUUGAGCAAUCCUAA
Molecule: ribosomal RNA, 1260 nt
Filed under: Triticum aestivum (bread wheat)
Lineage: Eukaryota; Viridiplantae; Streptophyta; Magnoliopsida; Poales; Poaceae
Description: partial small subunit ribosomal RNA
Source: RNAcentral